Ixodes scapularis (black-legged tick) is the source of this 357-nucleotide long non-coding RNA. RefSeq lists it as uncharacterized. The transcript has 3 exons. The record is from RefSeq and is a predicted model, not a curated record. NCBI's taxonomy places the organism in Eukaryota, Metazoa, Arthropoda, Arachnida, Ixodida, Ixodidae.
GACAAGAUGCUGCGAUGUAAGGAAGUGCAGAACAGCAAAGUCACAAUUCCUCACGUACCAUGUGUGACCCAGCGUUCUCCCAAAGCGAGUCCAGUCAAGAACCCCACCUGUUGUUCCAAGGCACUAGAAGAAAUGCACAAUGGUGGUGAUCAUACCUGGUGGGAUCAUGCAAGGCCUCAAUCGUCAGCACGUGAAACAACCGACUCCUCCUCGGACGUCAUAGCAAUCGCAAGAACAACCAUCAUAGAAAUUCGCUGGACAACUUUGGGGUAUGCAAAUCAUUCCUGGCACUCAUAAUUGUUGACUGAAACAGCCUUCGAGGGUCGAUAGUCUCGAUCACUGACCCUGUGGCUUAUU